RNAcentral lists this ribosomal RNA (465 nucleotides) under Vreelandella stevensii. Its description in RNAcentral is "partial 16S ribosomal RNA". It matches the Rfam family "Bacterial small subunit ribosomal RNA", at positions 338 to 795 of the family's 1533-position model. The record is from RNAcentral. Lineage: Bacteria; Pseudomonadati; Pseudomonadota; Gammaproteobacteria; Oceanospirillales; Halomonadaceae.
CCUACGGGCGGCAGCAGUGGGGAAUAUUGGACAAUGGGGGCAACCCUGAUCCAGCCAUGCCGCGUGUGUGAAGAAGGCCCUCGGGUUGUAAAGCACUUUCAGUGAGGAAGAACGCCUGGUGGUUAAUACCCAUCAGGAAAGACAUCACUCACAGAAGAAGCACCGGCUAACUCCGUGCCAGCAGCCGCGGUAAUACGGAGGGUGCGAGCGUUAAUCGGAAUUACUGGGCGUAAAGCGCGCGUAGGUGGCUUGAUAAGCCGGUUGUGAAAGCCCCGGGCUCAACCUGGGAACGGCAUCCGGAACUGUCAAGCUAGAGUGCAGGAGAGGAAAGUAGAAUUCCCGGUGUAGCGGUGAAAUGCGUAGAGAUCGGGAGGAAUACCAGUGGCGAAGGCGGCCUUCUGGACUGACACUGACACUGAGGUGCGAAAGCGUGGGUAGCAAACAGGAUUAGAUACCCUGGUAGUC